This is a non-coding RNA of Pelobates cultripes (western spadefoot toad), 222 nucleotides long. The record is from the annotation of a GenBank genome assembly. Lineage: Eukaryota; Metazoa; Chordata; Amphibia; Anura; Pelobatidae.
UAAUACAAGACUCCCUAUAUUUUAAAUAAUCGACUAAUAUUUGAGGCUCUGAAAGUUCAUUCUGUUUAGCCAGUAUCAGUGAUUCAGUUUAAGUGAGUCUAAUAGAUGAAGCAUGUUUAAUGUAAUUACACAUCCACUUCUUCUGAUGUAAAAUCACGUGAAGCAUUACUAAUCCCAAAACAGAUACCUGCAGGGAGGACUAUCAAGAACAGCUGUUUGGAC